RNAcentral lists this ribosomal RNA (792 nucleotides) under uncultured bacterium. Its description in RNAcentral is "bacterial SSU rRNA". It matches the Rfam family "Bacterial small subunit ribosomal RNA", at positions 8 to 796 of the family's 1533-position model. The record is from RNAcentral.
AGAGUUUGAUCAUGGCUCAGGAUGAACGCUAGCGGCAGGCCUAAUACAUGCAAGCCGAACGGCAAGUUUUGUAGCAAUACGAGACCUAGAGUGGCGUAAGGGUGCGUAACACGUAUGCAAUCUACCCUCAACAGGAGGAUAGCUCCCCGAAAGGGGAAUUAAGACUCCAUAAGAUAUCAGAGUGGCAUCACUUAGAUAUUAAAGUACAAGCGGUUGAGGAUGAGCAUGCGUCUGAUUAGUUAGUUGGCGGGGUAACGGCCCACCAAGACGAUGAUCAGUAGGGGAACUGAGAGGUUGAUCCCCCACACUGGCACUGAGAUACGGGCCAGACUCCUACGGGAGGCAGCAGUAGGGAAUAUUGGACAAUGGGUGCAAGCCUGAUCCAGCCAUGCCGCGUGCAGGAAGAAGGCCUUCUGGGUUGUAAACUGCUUUUGCCGGGGGAUAAAAUAGUCUUGCGAGACGAAUUGAAGGUACCCGGUGAAUAAGCCACGGCUAACUACGUGCCAGCAGCCGCGGUAAUACGUAGGUGGCAAGCGUUGUCCGGAUUUAUUGGGUUUAAAGGGUGCGUAGGCGGUCAAAUAAGUCAGUUGUGAAAUACGGCAGCUCAACUGUCGAGGUGCAAUUGAUACUGUUUGACUUGAGUAUUGUUGAGGUAGGCGGAAUGGACGGUGUAGCGGUGAAAUGCUUAGAGAUCGUCCAGAACACCGAUAGCGAAGGCAGCUUACUAAAGAAUAACUGACGCUGAGGCACGAAGGUGUGGGGAUCAAACAGGAUUAGAUACCCUAGUAGUCC